GAUGAACGCUGGCGGCGUGCCUAAUACAUGCAAGUCGAGCGAACGGACGAGAAGCUUGCUUUUCUGAUGUUAGCGGCGGACGGGUGAGUAACACGUGGAUAACCUACCUAUAAGACUGGGAUAACUUCGGGAAACCGGAGCUAAUACCGGAUAAUAUUUUGAACCGCAUGGUUCAAAAGUGAAAGACGGUCUUGCUGUCACUUAUAGAUGGAUCCGCGCUGCAUUAGCUAGUUGGUAAGGUAACGGCUUACCAAGGCAACGAUGCAUAGCCGACCUGAGAGGGUGAUCGGCCACACUGGAACUGAUACACGGUCCAGACUCCUACGGGAGGCAGCAGUAGGGAAUCUUCCGCAAUGGGCGAAAGCCUGACGGAGCAACGCCGCGUGAGAGAUGAAGGUCUUCGGAUCGUAAAACUCUGUUAUUAGGGAAGAACAUAUGUGUAAGUAACUGUGCACAUCUUGACGGUACCUAAUCAGAAAGCCACGGCUAACUACGUG
This 497-nucleotide ribosomal RNA is filed under the name uncultured bacterium. RNAcentral's name for it is "partial 16S ribosomal RNA". It matches the Rfam family "Bacterial small subunit ribosomal RNA", at positions 28 to 507 of the family's 1533-position model. The record is from RNAcentral.